UUAACGCCUAUCGCUUUUUUGGGGUGUUUGUGUGACUGGGUGCGUAUCUGUGAGUGUGCUUUCUGCACUUUUAAGCCUUUACAAAUCAAAAUUAAUCCGGAGCCCUCCACUACGGCGUGCCUCAUAAUCAAAACUGGUUUUGGCACGAAAAACCCCAGAAAUAAUAAUAAGAAGAAGCUAAAUUACCAAAGAGCCAACGCCAAACUCCUCUAUGCGAUAACUCAGUAUGCCCAGUUUGGAAACGCCGCGUUCAGGAUAGAAGAGCCUCAACGCUUUUCCUAUCGAGCGUCCGCAGUUAUUGCUGCCGUUUUUCGUACACUAAUAUUUCGUAACACCAAUAUUUCGUAAUAAAGUGUCAUAGAAAUACACACAUAUAAAGGCGAUGUGGAUCUAAACUUUGUUUGGAAAAAGUAGGCAAUGAAGAAAUAAAGUACGGCGUACAAGUUUUAUGAUAUUAUUAACACUCUUGAAUGGUAUUGUUUACGCAUUUACGCAGGAAGACCCCUUAUAUAAACGAAAACAAGCUACUAUUGAGGGGGAAAGGGCAUUGGAUGGAGUAAAAGCUCUUUACAGAGAAGGAAAAGUACCAGGAAAUCCUGACUUGGUGUUCAUGCUGACAACCAUAGAUUUGUUCGAAAUACGAGCUGGUGGAAAAAUCAACAAGGACCAAGACGGAAUUGGAGCUGUUGGAGCAAUCUGCACAAAGGAGGCUGCAGGAGUGGGCGAAGACAUCCCUACUUCUUACUCGGGAACCCAAAUAAUGGCUCAUGAACUUGCC
This is a long non-coding RNA of Dermacentor silvarum, 778 nucleotides long. RefSeq lists it as uncharacterized. The record is from RefSeq and is a predicted model, not a curated record. NCBI's taxonomy places the organism in Eukaryota, Metazoa, Arthropoda, Arachnida, Ixodida, Ixodidae. The transcript has 3 exons.